GAGGGACGAAGCCCUGGGGCGCAAACGGGAUUAGAUACCCCGGUAGUCCAGGGUGUAAACGCUGCGGGCUUGGUGUUGGGGGUCCUUUGUGGGCGCCCAGUGCCGGAGAGAAGUUGUUAAGCCUGCUGCUUGGGGAGUAUGUCCGCAAGGAUGAAACUUAAAGGAAUUGGCGGGGGAGCACCGCAACGGGAGGAGCGUGCGGUUCAAUUGGA
RNAcentral lists this non-coding RNA (212 nucleotides) under Niastella populi. Its description in RNAcentral is "Archaeal small subunit ribosomal RNA". It matches the Rfam family "Archaeal small subunit ribosomal RNA", at positions 699 to 910 of the family's 1478-position model. The record is from Rfam by way of RNAcentral. Lineage: Bacteria; Pseudomonadati; Bacteroidota; Chitinophagia; Chitinophagales; Chitinophagaceae.